This 447-nucleotide ribosomal RNA is filed under the name uncultured bacterium. Its description in RNAcentral is "partial 16S ribosomal RNA". It matches the Rfam family "Bacterial small subunit ribosomal RNA", at positions 29 to 523 of the family's 1533-position model. The record is from RNAcentral.
AACGAACGCUGGCGGCAGGCCUAACACAUGCAAGUCGAACGCUCCGCAAGGGGAGUGGCAGACGGGUGAGUAACGCGUGGGAAACUACCCAGUUGUACGGAAUAACCUAGGGAAACCUGGACUAAUACCGUAUACGCCCGCAAGGGGAAAGAUUUAUCGCAAUUGGAGGUGCCCGCGUCGGAUUAGCUAGUUGGUGGGGUAAUGGCUCACCAAGGCAACGAUCCGUAGCUGGUCUAAGAGGAUGAUCAGCCACACUGGGACUGAGACACGGCCCAGACUCCUACGGGAGGCAGCAGUGGGGAAUAUUGGACAAUGGGCGAAAGCCUGAUCCAGCAAUACCGCGUGAGUGAUGAAGGUCUUCGGAUUGUAAAGCUCUUUUAGUGGGGAAGAUAAUGACGGUACCCACAGAAAAAGCAUCGGCAAACUUCGUGCCAGCAGCCGCCGUAA